Molecule: long non-coding RNA, 1448 nt
Filed under: Sorghum bicolor (sorghum)
Lineage: Eukaryota; Viridiplantae; Streptophyta; Magnoliopsida; Poales; Poaceae
Description: long non-coding RNA (SBIC_LNC000622)
Source: RNAcentral
CACGUUUCUUUACUAGCUUCAUUUGUAGAUCGACCUUGGCCGUGUAAAUGGAAUAUCACGGUAAGCUCCAUCCAAUUUCCCCCACAGCUUCGUCACCGCUCCGUUGUUGGUUAGUCGUUGCUGCACAUUAGCUAGAACUAUAUAUAGGAUAAGAAUAAGAAUAUAUGUAGUGGGAUUUGAUCUACUACUAAAAACACUACACGCGCGCUCUUUGCAAAAAGCUAGCGGUACGGUACGUCACGCAGAAGCUAAAAUUGUUAAUUACACUACGACGUCGUGCCAUUUGCAUCUACUAGCUUAGCACACAGAACGCCGUGUUACCAGGUCUCGCGCACCGAAUGCGAUCCCGGAGAAAUUUUCACAUUGCGCACGCACCAGGGUUACACAUAGUUUGAUUUUUUUUUUAGAUAAAUGUCAGGUGUUUUUUUUUUGUGAGCAGGUUUGAUGUCAGUUUGUUAAUCCGGACACAGAUAGCUACUUCUAGUAUAAGGUCAGUCUCAAUAGAGAUUUUAUAGAAGUUUCAUGCACAUUAAAUAUUCUGACAUGACAUUAUAUUGAUAAAGAGAGAGAUGGUAAGAGUUUUAUAAAACUAUAGAGACAAUUUUAUAGAGAUAAAACUCUUCUACAAUGUUUUUAAAAUAUAAGUGUUUUGAAAACUGGACAAUGAAACCUCCAGUGAGACUUCCUAAGAAACGUAACCAACUGAUGAUCUAGGCUCAGUUCACUCACUACUUCCAGGCAGAGCCAAUUAUUAGCCAAAGCACGAUGGGAAAAAGAAUAUAAGAAAACAGGUUUCAUGCUGCCAUGGUUGGAUCUGGGUCUUAUUAUUUGCCAUGAAAAAAUACCGACCAAUCUCUGAUGAUACGUAUACCACCAGCGUCUAAUAACUAUCUAAUAAACGAGACAUAUAUGGGAUACACCAUGGUCACUGGCUGGCACAUUUCUUAGAAAAAAAGAAUUUUUUAUUACGAUUAUUUCUACAUAAGUCAUAGCAGUUACCAUCCCUUAUUUACAAGUCCAGCCCCCUGCAGACAUUACUGGAAAUUAAGAUUCUCUUGUCGGUGCUAGGCAAACUGACAAGAAAAUUAUGACUUUUUCUGUUGGUUUCUAGACAUCGAUAGAAAAAUACGAAAACCGACAGAGUAUAUCAUUUUUUUGUUGAUUUAUAUGCUACCGACAGAAAAAUAUUUAAUUUCCUUGUGUGUCUAGAUCUCACCGAUAGAAAAAUACAGUUCGCCCAGGUUUGCGGACUGAAUCAUGCAGCCAACUUGGGCCUGGGCUACGUUGGCCUUUCAGCCAGCCCAAGAAUGUGCACCUUGUUCCGAGGACAUAUAAACCAGCGUCCCCAAACCCUAGCGCACAAACUCCGUGACUCCAUUGCAUUCUUUGCCGCCUGUUCACUGUUCUGGCACUUUGUAGGCGGCAGUGCUUUCCCUUCCUCGGUCCCC